RNAcentral lists this ribosomal RNA (460 nucleotides) under uncultured bacterium. Its description in RNAcentral is "partial 16S ribosomal RNA". It matches the Rfam family "Bacterial small subunit ribosomal RNA", at positions 338 to 795 of the family's 1533-position model. The record is from RNAcentral.
CCUACGGGCGGCAGCAGUGGGGAAUAUUGGUCAAUGGCCGAAAGGCUGAACCAGCCAUGCCGCGUGAAGGUCAGUGCCCUAUGGGCGUUAAACUUCUUUUGUGCGGGAGCAAUAAUGGUCACGUGUGGCCAGACGAGCGUACCGUACGCAUACGCAUCGGCUAACUCCGUGCCAGCAGCCGCGGUAAUACGGGGGAUGCAAGCGUUAUCCGGAUUUAAUGGGUUUAAAGGGGGCGUAGGCUGUGAGGUAAGUCAGCAGUGAAAUGCCCCCGCGCAACGGGGUGAAGUGCCAUUGAUACUGCCUUGCUGGAAUGCGGAUGCCGUGGGAGGAAUGGGUGGUGUAGCGGUGAAAUGCAUAGAUAUCACACAGAACACCGAUUGCGAAGGCAGCUCGCGAAUCCGCGAUUGACGCUGAUGCACGAAAGCGUGGGGAGCAAACAGGAUUAGAUACCCGAGUAGUC